Podarcis muralis (Common wall lizard) is the source of this 1003-nucleotide non-coding RNA. Lineage: Eukaryota; Metazoa; Chordata; Lepidosauria; Squamata; Lacertidae. The record is from RefSeq and is a predicted model, not a curated record.
UCGCCAGGGAGAAGCCGAAGAGGCUUCCGGAGUCCCCGCUCCACAUGACCACGUUGCCCGUGUCCAGGUUGAAGGCGAGGACGAGCCCCGGCAGGAGGGACAGGUGUUGCCCUGGUGCCUCCGUAAACAACCACCUAAAGUACGAAUGACAAGACACAUCCUCCCCACAGCUCUCUGGUUAUAUGUGUACUUAAGGCCGACUCCGUUGCAAUUGGUAUAUUUGCCGGAGGACAGGUUGAUGUGUUCUACCUACAGCAAAUACCUUGGCCGCAUCCGAUGUGGAGCUGCUCCUCAACUUUCUAGCUGCAAAAGGAACAGCGCACUGACAACUGGACUCGUCUCCCUCCAAAGUAGAACCGCCAAAGGACUGAGUCAGCAGCACAGAGAGUGUUUUUUUGGUAAACGAAGGCCUGAGCUAUUUGCCCCGGACAAUGGCUUCAUUUCCCCAUGUGUAUACUUCAAAUAAUCUAAAGUGAGAAGUGGCUGUUGAGUGAAAACAGAAAAAGUACUGUUUGAUGUUCACCCAUUCACUUAUAUCUUACCACAAACAUUGCUUGUUUUGGUGAAACACGCAAACAAAGAAUCGGGGCCUCUUCGCUGUGUUCCUCCAACUUGUGCAGAAGACCUUCAGCCAAAUUGUUGGCCCACACCCUGACUUGGAGGAGAUGCGGUUGCUGACAAUCUAACCCUCCCGAAUUCUUCAUUACCUGCCAUGCUGCAUCACCAUUUAUUUGACUGUCUUCCCAACCCUGGUCUCCAUGAAACUGAGAAUUGUGGGUGGGUGGGUGGGAGUGGAAUCCUUGUAAAUAUCACAGAAACCUCUCUUUGAUCUUAAAUGAAUGUUUUAAUUGAAAUAUUGAGAGGGACACAACCCAGUUGUGCUCCAGGAAGAUACCUCUGUACAGGAAGGGGGGAAUGUUUCUGUUAUGUACUGAAGUUCUCACCCUGGGCCAGCAGGGGGAUACUGUAGAUAGUUAUGCAAAUAAGGGAUCGAAAGUGACGU